AGGGUGCUUAAGUUUCCAAGGUCAUGAUAUCAGCCAUAAAUCUCCUUUAAAGCUUCGGCGCAGGUUUAUGCUGAACUGAAGUAUACCAAAGCAAAGUUUAAUUGUGCAUUACUUAAGAGGGGCUACAACUGGACCAUAAGCAGCACAAGGAAAACCAAGCUCAAAGAUAAAGCAUGUCCAGAAUUUCAUUUAAGUUGACAUUGGCAGUACUUGAAUCCUUUUUGUAGGACAGGUUAGAAUUUGUGUUCUAGCCUAUGAAAUAGGUCCAGGUUCAGCUCUGACUGGGUCUAUAUUAUUUUGGAUAAGCAACUUCUAUAACUAGAACCAAAAUUAAGUUUCAUACUUUUGUAUUUUUUGGCAUUGAAGUUACAUAGAAACCUAGCUCAUAAUAGUAAUAGGAUUCCACAAGAAUUAAAAUUCUUAAUUCUUAUAGUUUUGAAAGUAGUUUCUCUGGAUCAAGGUAAGUGACAGAAGCCUAGAAUUACUACCAAUACAAUCUGAAAAGCAAAGAAGAUGAAUAGCCUCAAAACAACCUUACGAUGCACAACUGCCGUACACAGCAUUAGCAUAACCCUUCUGCUCCAAGAGCAUUGGAUCCUGGCCUUCAUUUAAUUUGUUUUAGUUGCCCGUUUAAACAUUAAUUUUGAUUGAAAAUUUUCCAGCAACUAUUUCUCUGAUUCUAGGCCCAAAAUUUGGAAUAUUUCCAUCCUAAAGAAAAUAGAAACAUUAAAUUCCUUUCUAAAAUAGAAAAAAAGCUAUAAAAUUUCAAGUUCCCUGAUAUGUGGUUAUCUAUUGAAAAUGAUGGGGGAACUUGCAGUCAACUAACUACCAAAUUUGUAAGCUGAAUCACAUUUUUAUUCUACACAAAAAAGUAAUACGAUCAGAAAUCCUCAAGUAAGCUAACUUGGAUUGGCUAUAAGAAUUCCUCCAUUCUGUAUAAGAAUUCCU
RNAcentral lists this unclassified non-coding RNA (948 nucleotides) under Hevea brasiliensis (rubber tree). Lineage: Eukaryota; Viridiplantae; Streptophyta; Magnoliopsida; Malpighiales; Euphorbiaceae. The record is from RNAcentral.